RNAcentral lists this small nuclear RNA (21 nucleotides) under Arabidopsis thaliana (thale cress). RNAcentral describes it as "snRNA_00819". The record is from RNAcentral. Lineage: Eukaryota; Viridiplantae; Streptophyta; Magnoliopsida; Brassicales; Brassicaceae.
GGGUGAGAGCCCCGUCGUGCC